GGUGCCUAUAGUUCCACCUAUUUGGGAGCCUGAGGCAAGGAGGAUCUCUUGAGUCCAGGAGUUAUGGCUAUAGUGUGCUCUACCAACUGAGUGUCCACACUAAGUUUGGCAUCAAUAUGGUGACCUCCUGGGGGUGGAGGACCACCAGGUUGCCUAAAGAAGGGUGAAUCAGCAGGGCUCAGAAACAGAGCAGGUCAUAACUCCCAUGCUGAUCAGUAGUGGGAGCGCGCCUGUGAAGAGCCAUGGCACUUCACUCUGGGCAACAUAGAGAGACCCUGUCUCU
This 283-nucleotide signal recognition particle RNA is filed under the name Aotus nancymaae (Ma's night monkey). RNAcentral's name for it is "Metazoan signal recognition particle RNA (ENSANAG00000007226.1)". It matches the Rfam family "Metazoan signal recognition particle RNA". From Rfam's summary of the family: The signal recognition particle (SRP) is a universally conserved ribonucleoprotein. It is involved in the co-translational targeting of proteins to membranes. The record is from RNAcentral. Lineage: Eukaryota; Metazoa; Chordata; Mammalia; Primates; Aotidae.